UGUAUAAUGGGUCAGCGACUUAUAUUCUGUAGCAAGGUUAACCGAAUAGGGGAGCCGAAGGGAAACCGAGUCUUAACUGGGCGUUAAGUUGCAGGGUAUAGACCCGAAACCCGGUGAUCUAGCCAUGGGCAGGUUGAAGGUUGGGUAACACUAACUGGAGGACCGAACCGACUAAUGUUGAAAAAUUAGCGGAUGACUUGUGGCUGGGGGUGAAAGGCCAAUCAAACCGGGAGAUAGCUGGUUCUCCCC
This 249-nucleotide ribosomal RNA is filed under the name Escherichia coli. RNAcentral describes it as "partial 23S ribosomal RNA". It matches the Rfam family "Bacterial large subunit ribosomal RNA", at positions 609 to 860 of the family's 2925-position model. Lineage: Bacteria; Pseudomonadati; Pseudomonadota; Gammaproteobacteria; Enterobacterales; Enterobacteriaceae. The record is from RNAcentral.